CUAAUGGCUCUAUUCAGGGCCAUAAAAAGGAUAAACAAAGGGAAGG
Anopheles gambiae str. PEST is the source of this 46-nucleotide non-coding RNA. The record is from Rfam. NCBI's taxonomy places the organism in Eukaryota, Metazoa, Arthropoda, Insecta, Diptera, Culicidae.